CAUAUUUUUACAAAUAAAAUUUUGUAACCUUUAGGAACAAUUCUAAAAAAUCUAAAUAAUUAGUGUAGUGGACAAUACCAUAAUUUCAGCAUAGCUGUGAAACUAGAAGUACUAUGCAAAGCUCUCGACUAGUUUCAUUUUUGGCCAUUGCAUUGUCAGUUUAUUUUGGAUUUAUGAGUUUGACUGUCCCUUUGGUAUCUUUCAUCCCUCUUUCAGAC
This 218-nucleotide long non-coding RNA is filed under the name Mytilus galloprovincialis (Mediterranean mussel). The record is from RNAcentral. Lineage: Eukaryota; Metazoa; Mollusca; Bivalvia; Mytilida; Mytilidae.